This 467-nucleotide ribosomal RNA is filed under the name uncultured bacterium. Its description in RNAcentral is "partial 16S ribosomal RNA". It matches the Rfam family "Bacterial small subunit ribosomal RNA", at positions 28 to 507 of the family's 1533-position model. The record is from RNAcentral.
GACGAACGCUGGCGGCGUGCUUAACACAUGCAAGUCGAACGGAAAGGCCUCUUUCGGGGGGUACUCGAGUGGCGAACGGGUGAGUAACACGUGAGUAACCUGCCCUUGACUUUGGGAUAACUUCAGGAAACUGGGGCUAAUACCGGAUAGGAGCUCCUGCUGCAUGGUGGGGGUUGGAAAGUUUCGGCGGUUGGGGAUGGACUCGCGGCUUAUCAGCUUGUUGGUGGGGUAGUGGCUUACCAAGGCUUUGACGGGUAGCCGGCCUGAGAGGGUGACCGGCCACAUUGGGACUGAGAUACGGCCCAGGCUCCUACGGGAGGGGGCAGUGGGGACGAUUGCACAAUGGGUGGACGCCUGAUGCAGCAACGCCGUGGGCGGGAGGACGGGCUUCGGGUUGUAAACCGCUUUCGCUCAUGACGAAGCUUUGUGUGACGGUAGUGGGUAAAGAAGCACCGGCUAACUACGUG